Molecule: long non-coding RNA, 871 nt
Filed under: Brachypodium distachyon (stiff brome)
Lineage: Eukaryota; Viridiplantae; Streptophyta; Magnoliopsida; Poales; Poaceae
Description: long non-coding RNA (BDIS_LNC003658)
Source: RNAcentral
UCGCGAUGGCAUUUUGCAAAUAAAACCUCGAACUUUUUCAAGUGUCAGCACGCAGUCCGAAUCACCGUCUUCGUCCUCCGUGUCCUCGUCCAUUCCCCUCCACCUCAAAUCACCACCGCCUUGCUCUCCCAGCCCCACGCUGCGCUGCCGCCACGCCAAGCCUGCGCGGACAAGCAUCAACCUACACGUCCGAACCCUGCGCCUGCUAGCCUGAGCGCAGACGCAAGGUUGAAUUUUUCUGCUCGAUGUGCUCUCCGACAACGAUAGAGAAUGUCGGACCAACCCGACCCACCACACUGACGCAUCGGUGAGCUCCUCGAGUGUGAGAGAGCGGCCGCGUCUGUGGGACUAUGCAUACUGCGGGGCAAGAUGGUGAAGAGGGACGGUAUGUAAUUCUUCUUCUCUUUUUCUGUCAUCUUUGUUCAUGCAAAUCAAUCCAUCCUCCGGCCUCGCGAGGCGGGCCGAUUUGGCGGCCGAGGCGGAGGUCGAGGAGCUGCCAGGGGGGUUCAAACCUGUGGCUGUGGACCUGGCAUGGGAGAAAUGAGGGAGGAGAUGGCCACGGACGAGAUUGUGAUUUGGGGCCACAUUGACAAGGUUAGAAUGAAAAAUGGGUCUUCUGUAAAAUGGAUAUGCUAUAUGUGAAUGUGAUCACGUCAGUUAUUUCGGGCCAGAGAGAGUAUAAUAAAAGGAGGUAAGAACAAUACGUGGAGCGGGGAUGGAAUGUGUAAAUAAGAAAUAAAUUGCCAUUAUAUAUUCGUUUGCGGAGUUAUCAUUUUCAUGUGCACUUGUCACGAAGAAGACCAACUUAUUAUACCAAUUGUUGUACAAAUCAUCCUUGUUCGUAUUUUAGUAUGGUCUAACUGAAUGUCAU